AGACUCCUACGGGAGGCAGCAGUGGGGAAUCUUAGACAAUGGGCGCAAGCCUGAUCUAGCGAUGCCGCGUGAGUGAUGAAGGCCUUAGGGUCGUAAAACUCUUUCGCCAGGGAUGAUAAUGACAGUACCUGGUAAAGAAACCCCGGCUAACUCCGUGCCAGCAGCCGCGGUAAUACGGAGGGGGUUAGCGUUGUUCGGAAUUACUGGGCGUAAAGCGUACGUAGGCGGAUCAGAAAGUAAGGGGUGAAAUCCCAGGGCUCAACCCUGGAACUGCCUCUUAAACUCCUGGUCUUGAGUUCGAGAGAGGUGAGUGGAAUUCCAAGUGUAGAGGUGAAAUUCGUAGAUAUUUGGAGGAACACCAGUGGCGAAGGCGGCUCACUGGCUCGAUACUGACGCUGAGGUACGAAAGUGUGGGGAGCAAACAGGAUUAGAUACCCUGGUAGUCCACACCGUAAACGAUGAAUGCCAGACGUCGGGUAGCAUGCUAUUCGGUGUCACACCUAACGGAUUAAGCAUUCCGCCUGGGGAGUACGGUCGCAAGAUUAAAACUCAAAGGAAUUGACGGGGGCCCGCACAAGAAG
This 581-nucleotide ribosomal RNA is filed under the name uncultured bacterium. RNAcentral describes it as "bacterial SSU rRNA". It matches the Rfam family "Bacterial small subunit ribosomal RNA", at positions 333 to 932 of the family's 1533-position model. The record is from RNAcentral.